RNAcentral lists this long non-coding RNA (225 nucleotides) under Ganoderma lucidum. RNAcentral describes it as "long non-coding RNA (GLUC_LNC000044)". Lineage: Eukaryota; Fungi; Basidiomycota; Agaricomycetes; Polyporales; Polyporaceae. The record is from RNAcentral.
GCACGGCAGGGGCGGAUGCGGUUACGUUGUGUCGCGAGAAUCGAGGAUCUGGCGAGAAAUCGGAAUCGAAGAGGCAGGACAAAGAUGCCGGCUGCCACUUCUCUCCUCAGACUCAGACAUGACAGCCGCCUCCCUCCCGAGGACGCCCACCCAACCAGAGUGAGGCCCUUCUCCCAGACUUGGUUUGCCGCACUGCCCCGCCCAUAACAACGUUAUUCACCUCCC